Molecule: transfer RNA, 77 nt
Filed under: Candidatus Kuenenbacteria bacterium
Lineage: Bacteria; Candidatus Kueneniibacteriota
Description: tRNA-Met
Rfam family: tRNA
About the family: Transfer RNA (tRNA) molecules are approximately 80 nucleotides in length. Their secondary structure includes four short double-helical elements and three loops (D, anti-codon, and T loops).
Source: RNAcentral
GGACUCGCAUAGCUCAAUCGGCAGAGCGUGGGGCUCAUAAUCCCAGGGUUCUUGGUUCGAGUCCAAGGGCGAGUUCA